AUUGAACGCUGGCGGCAGGCUUAACACAUGCAAGUCGAGCGAUGACUAACUAGCUUGCUAGUUAUGAUUAGUGGCGGACGGGUGAGUAACAUUUAGGAAUCUGCCUAGUAGUGGGGGAUAGCUCGGGGAAACUCGAAUUAAUACCGCAUACGACCUACGGGUGAAAGGGGGCGCAAGCUCUUGCUAUUAGAUGAGCCUAAAUCAGAUUAGCUAGUUGGUGGGGUAAAGGCCUACCAAGGCGACGAUCUGUAACUGGUCUGAGAGGAUGAUCAGUCACACCGGAACUGAGACACGGUCCGGACUCCUACGGGAGGCAGCAGUGGGGAAUAUUGGACAAUGGGGGCAACCCUGAUCCAGCCAUGCCGCGUGUGUGAAGAAGGCCUUUUGGUUGUAAAGCACUUUAAGCAGGGAGGAGAGGCUAAUGGUUAAUACCCAUUAGAUUAGACGUUACCUGCAGAAUAAGCACCGGCUAACUCUGUGCCAGCAGCCGCGGUAAUACAGAGGGUGCGAGCGUUAAUCGGAAUUACUGGGCGUAAAGCGAGUGUAGGUGGCUCAUUAAGUCACAUGUGAAAUCCCCGGGCUUAACCUGGGAACUGCAUGUGAUACUGGUGGUGCUAGAAUAUGUGAGAGGGAAGUAGAAUUCCAGGUGUAGCGGUGAAAUGCGUAGAGAUCUGGAGGAAUACCGAUGGCGAAGGCAGCUUCCUGGCAUAAUAUUGACACUGAGAUUCGAAAGCGUGGGUAGCAAACAGGAUUAGAUACCCUGGUAGUCCACGCCGUAAACGAUGUCUACUAGCCGUUGGGGUCCUUGAGACUUUAGUGGCGCAGUUAACGCGAUAAGUAGACCGCCUGGGGAGUACGGCCGCAAGGUUAAAACUCAAAUGAAUUGACGGGGGCCCGCACGAGCGGUGGAGCAUGUGGUUUAAUUCGAUGCAACGCGAAGAACCUUACCUGGUCUUGACAUAGUGAGAAUCCUGCAGAGAUGCGGGAGUGCCUUCGGGAAUUCACAUACAGGUGCUGCAUGGCUGUCGUCAGCUCGUGUCGUGAGAUGUUGGGUUAAGUCCCGCAACGAGCGCAACCCUUUUCCUUAUUUGCCAGCGGGUUAAGCCGGGAACUUUAAGGAUACUGCCAGUGACAAACUGGAGGAAGGCGGGGACGACGUCAAGUCAUCAUGGCCCUUACGACCAGGGCUACACACGUGCUACAAUGGUAGGUACAGAGGGUUGCUACACAGCGAUGUGAUGCUAAUCUCAAAAAGCCUAUCGUAGUCCGGAUUGGAGUCUGCAGCUCGACUCCAUGAAGUCGGAAUCGCUAGUAAUCGCAGAUCAGAAUGCUGCGGUGAAUACGUUCCCGGGCCU
Molecule: ribosomal RNA, 1355 nt
Filed under: uncultured bacterium
Lineage: Bacteria
Description: bacterial SSU rRNA
Rfam family: Bacterial small subunit ribosomal RNA
Source: RNAcentral